Molecule: long non-coding RNA, 1970 nt
Filed under: Pan troglodytes (chimpanzee)
Lineage: Eukaryota; Metazoa; Chordata; Mammalia; Primates; Hominidae
Description: long non-coding RNA NONPTRT015592
Source: RNAcentral
ACCAGCAGCUAAACAUGCCUACCGUAGAUAGCACCAGAUGCUAGGAAGGAAGGACCAUAAUGUACUGGGAGAGAUGGGAAAGGAGAGGCCAGGGACAGCCCUGAGGUGACAUGUGAGUGGAAAGAGCGGAGUGCAAAGGCCUCAGCUAUGAUGAGUCCUACAGGGAGAGCAAUUCAGGUAGAGGGGUUGGCAAAGACCCAAGCCCUACAGAAAGCAAACAAGCUGGGGCAGCGACCAUCAGGGGCACAUGGCAGAGAGGUGGGCUUUGUGUCCCAACACAGUGGGAAUCACUGGAGACUUUGAAGCAUGGUCAUAUUUUCAAGUCACUUGCAGCUGUGUAGGAGUGGAAGUAGAAGCCACCAAUCCUGGACAGAUGCAGGAGCAGCUGUCAGUAGACAGAUAAGAAAAGGAGAUCAGAUUCAAAGUUCCGCAGAGAAGUGGUGAGGUAACCAGUAUUGCCUAGCCUGGACACACAGGCAGCUUGAAACCUCAAGUGCACCAACAGAAAGAGCUCCAGGAAGAAUCAGAGGAGUGGGAUGUGAAGCCCCUCGAGGAAGAGUACAGAGAAGGGAGAGAUGAAGUGAGUGAUCCGAUAAAGUGAUAUGUGAAGUCAUCGGCUUGCUGCCAAGCUGCGCACAGGGCUGACCCUAGAUGCACAUCGCAGGUCCCAGAUUGACCGGUGUAGACACAGGACUAAUAUGACUAGUAGUGCAAACACUUUAAACAGUCAACAUUCUGCUUAGGAUUUAAACAAGGUCCAGAGUCUCAACAUAAUAUUUAAAAUAUCCAGGUUAUCCAAAAUAACCCAGAGUAUGAAAACCAGGAAAAUCUCAACAUGGGAGAAAAGAAGAUGAUCAAUACAUGCCCAUCCUGAGAUGAUUCAACUAUUGGAAUGAUCAGAUACAGACUUCAAAGCAGCUAUUUAUAACCAGCCUUCAGAAAGUAUUGGUGAAUAUUCUUAAACAAAAUGGAAAUGACAAAGGAUGGAGUCCAUAAAUUAGAUGAUAGUUUGGAAAAAGAUAUAAACUUACAAACCAAGAAGCUCAGUGAACCACACAACUGGAUAAAUUAACAACAAAAGUCCAAGCUUAGACACAUCAUAAAGAAACUUCUGAAAACUAAAGACCAAGAAAAAUAAGAUCAGCCAGAGAAAAACGAUACAUUUCAUUCAGGUGAACAAUUCUUUGAAAGACUGGAUCUUCACCAGAAACUAUAGAGGCCAGAAAGAAGUGGAACAUUUUUAGUUUUGAAAUAAUUGUCACCCAAGAAUUCUAUAUCCAGUAAAAAUUUCUAUUUUACUGGAAUAAAAGAAUGAAAUAAAAUAAAGACAUUCUCAAAUGAAGGCAAGCUGAGGAAAUUCAUAACCAAAGAAUCUGCUUUAAAAAAAUGUUAAACCAAGUUCUUCAGACAGAAGAGGUUACUGGGGGCAAUUCAAAACUUUGGGAAUGCAGGAAGAACAUCAUAAAUGGCAAAAGUCCACAUAAAUAUGAAACUAUUCUUUACUUCUUUAAGAGUUAUGUGAUGGUUGAAUUAAGUCAUGAUACUGUCUGAUGGAGGCUUCAGUGUAUACAGAUGUAAGACAACUAGAACAUGAGGGGAGAAGGGUGAAGGGACCUAGAUGGUAGUGAGGUUUCUACAUGCUACUUGAAAUGGCAAAACAUUAAUCUAAAUUGACUGUAAGAGUAUGUGUAUUUGGCCGGGCAGGGUGGCUCAUGCCUGUAAUCCCAGCAUUUUGGGAGGCCAAGGUGGGUGGAUCACCUAAAGUCAGGAGUUCGGGACUAGCCUGACCAACAUGGCAAAACCCUGUCUCUAUUAAAAAUACAAAAUUAGCCAGGUGUGGUGGUGCAUGCCUGUAAUCCCAGCUACUCGGGAGGCUGAGGCAGGAGAAUCGUUUGAAAUCGGGAGGCAGAGGUUGCAGUGAGCCAGAUUGUGCCAUUGCACUCCAACCUGGGCGACAAGAGCGAAACUCC